Molecule: long non-coding RNA, 569 nt
Filed under: Helianthus annuus (common sunflower)
Lineage: Eukaryota; Viridiplantae; Streptophyta; Magnoliopsida; Asterales; Asteraceae
Source: RNAcentral
GGGCAGAGAGAGAGAUCGCGGCGCCGGAGAGAGAGAUCGACCAACGUUUGUGACGGUACAGGAGUAGAGGCCGACGGGGGAUGUCAGCUCGGAGGCUGCGAUGGCUCUGACAAUGACGACGGUUGAACGACUAGGGUUCCGAUCAAGUUCCGGCAUCUUUCCGGUAACAUCCGGUGAGGCUCCAGCGAGGAUUCCAGGGAACGAACUUGAAGAUGCAUGUUUCUUUUUCGAGUAGACCAACAAACCCCGAGGUUAACACUGUCGAAUGUCUGUUGCAAACAGGUGACAGAGGAUGGACGAUAAAGAAAUAUAAACUCUUAGGCUAGAAGGAGCUAUACCACCAAUAGAAGUACAAGUUCUACGCAGUUGGAUUCCCGCCUUUAGAGACGUCAAAACAUGCUACACACUGGUCAACUGACAGGCGUACGCAUCAUCUGGUGCCAAAUGCAGUGCACCGUUGCAGCUUCCAAAGAUAUCGUCUUUUCACAAAUUUGCUAGACGGGAGCAAUACGCACAAAUGGACGAAUCCGAGUUCCGGAAGAAGUGGGCUGGCGGCGUUACAGGGCGGC